Molecule: long non-coding RNA, 3370 nt
Filed under: Sus scrofa (pig)
Lineage: Eukaryota; Metazoa; Chordata; Mammalia; Artiodactyla; Suidae
Description: lncRNA (ENSSSCG00000054898.1)
Source: RNAcentral
GGCAUGCCCACAGUAUGUGGAAGUUCCCCGGCCAGGGAUUGAACCUGUGUUACAGCAGUGACCUGAGCUAUAGCAGUGACAAUGCUGGAUCCUUAACCACUAGGCCAUCAGGGAACUCUGACAAAUCUUAAUUGUAAUCUUCAAGUGCCCAGUCAGAGGGACAGGUAUAUCUAUGAUUCACUGUGUCUUUUUUUGUAUCCCACUUGCUUCUUUCCCUCUUAUAACAAAGUGUUAGGGGAGCCCAAAAGGAGAAGGAGUUUUUUUCUGUGGGGUCACCGCAAAAGAAAUUCCAAGAAAUCUUAGGUUGGAUUUGCCCAGAAACAGAUACUGAGAGUAGUAUUUGAACACGAGGUUUAUUUGGGAGGUGAUCUCAGAAAGCCAAAGAAGGUGCUAGCAGGUCACUUAUGGGCAACUGGGGACUCAGUCUCACUGAGGACCACUGGGAGAUGGUGAAGAACAUAUCUCAGUGUUGUUCUACUUGAGGAAGAAGGAAGAUUAGAUAUAUAUUUACCAAAUCCUGUUCAUCAUUGUUUGAGGGCUCUGCCCAGGGGUGUUCACUUUCCAUUGCUUCUGAGCUGUCCCACAUAUGGUCUGAGUCUGUUGCUGUGCAGCCGUUGAGAGAAGGCCUCAGGCAAAAACUUAUAAACUUGAGUGGUGCAUGGAUUCAUAAUUUGGCUGAGGCACACAUGGCAUCUGCUUCCCUGGAGGAGGUGGUAUUUAAAUUGAACCUUAGACGAUGUCGUGAUAUGGGGUAAGCAUUUUAGCGUACAAGAGUAGGAAGGACUGAGGCAGCAGUUGUGUGGUCCAUGGCAAAUAUAAUAAAGCACCAAAGUCUGAAAAUGAUUCACAUUUUUAAAAUUAGAGAAAAUUCAAGGUUAUCCCUAUAAAUAUUCAUUCUCACUCCCUUGCUUUGAGUGGGAGAGAACUUAGCUCCCAAGAGUUUGCUCAGAGGGAAUCGUGCCUCACCAGCAGCCUGUUUCCUCUCGUUAAUAUCUGGGUUGCUUUGACUUAUUACACUGUCUUACAAAUUUGUCUCUGCCAAAUUUGGGGGUUUGUCAAAAUCUAAACAUGGCUACGUGAGUUGUGUUAUUGCACAUAAGGGCACCAGUGUCCUUAUAUGUGUCACUUUGGGUAAAGGUUAAGAACUGUUGAUAAGAGGCUUGAAAAUGUAACAGAUGGAUUCAAGAAAAAAGCAAAUAAUCCAGUGGUAGGGACAUAGGUUGUAGUGUGUAGGGAUGGGAGCUGAAGAUGGAUGAGGAAGGAAAAGGAGAGUGGUAUAUGGCUGUGUAAUAACUGAUUAUUUCAAUCAGAAAUCUAUAUUGUACAUUAACAAUGAAUAGGAGAUCCUUAAACCCAGGAUCUCUAAAAUAAUGAGGAGGAGCCACACAUCACUGGGAUGAAGAUGGUGCACACGAACUUUCCUUUUACUUGCAUGUAUGAGUAAGGAGAAACAUCAAAUCAUAUCAUGUAUUUCACAAGAUGCAACCGCACCCUGCCAAUGAAACCCAUGUGAGGUUUCAUUUUAACCUUAGAAAAUAUUGAAAUUUUUGGCAGUGUAGGUUAUCAGUAGGUUGGGUACCUGCAUCGAAAUUUGCACUUGUUUGAAAAUGCUUCAUUCUGGAUAGACAGCUGUCAUCUCUGAUAAUCCACUCCUGUGAGCCCCAGAAGCUUUGGAAAGCUGACAGCAACACCGCAUGACUGCUGUUCUUAGCCUGAAUUUCCUAUGGGGCACAAGGUUGUCGACUGUGAAAGGUGAAGUUUAUUUAAAACAUCUUCAUUUCUGGUUUGCACAACUUGACAUAGUAUUCUAUGUUGUGUAAAUACAUGGAAUUCUGAGUAUAUGCAGUCCUUGUAUAGGAGCUAGACUUGGUCACCCAGCUUGUCACGGAAGUGGAAAUUACAUUCCUCUGAGGCAAGUUAAUGAAUCAGCGACAGUGCAUAGAAAUUCUGUUCAGAGAGGAAAACAAGAAGAUGGAUGAAUACUGUUACAAAUAUAAUAUCAAAGAUGAGGGAUAGUACUUAAUACCUUCUUCAAAGCUGCCUCUUCAGCUCUCAAAGUUCACCUUCUUCCGGGGUAAGGGGAAGUUUCAUAUCAUUCCCAUUCCAGUUGUCCAGCCCACACUUCAAGCCUUAUCGCUCUCUCACCUGGGGGCUCUGUGGCUGCUGGUUCAACAUCUAAACUCCCUAAGCCCAUUUUCUCAGCGCUGUUUCUUCAGGAAGGCGAAGGGCAAGUUUGCAGUGGGGCCAGCCACACUUCCCUUUGACGCUCUGUACUUCCGCUCCUACUAUCCUUCCGCACAAGGCAGCAAGGGUGGGAUAAAUUUUACUGAAGGAAUAGGGAGGGGGGAUGGAUUUAAGAUGGGGACAGCUUAAAAUUCAGGGCUAUUCCAUGACUUUUUCCACUAGCAUGAUAACCUCUAGAUCCAUCCUUAUUGCUGCAAAUGGGAUUAGUUCAUCCUUUUUAUGGUUGAGUAAUAUUUCAUUGUAUAUAUGUAUCACAUCUUCUUAAUCUAUUCAUCUAUCAAUGGACAUUUAAGUUGCUUCCAUGUUCUAGCUAUUGUACAUAGUGCUAUGAUGAACAUAGGGGUGUAUGUAUCUUUUCAAAUUAUGUUUUUCUCUGGAUAUAUGCCCAGGAGUUGGAUUGCUGGAUCAUAUGUAGUCCUAUGUUUAGUUUUUUAACCUCUGAACUUUAAAUAAUCAUUGGAAAUUGAUUUCCAUUGUGGGAACUGAUUAUAGACUUCUAAACUCCCCCAACUGUUUUCCUAUGUUUCCAGGUACAAACUCACCUGUGGCCCUUAUCUCACUACUUAGACUUAUCUCUUCAUUGGCCCAAGACCAUACCCCAUUGGUUUUUGUUCCUCUAGAGCCUCGUAUUGAGAAAGGCACAUAAAUAGUAAUAAAUGCUUUUUGAAUGGACUUCUGUUCCAGCUGCUAUCCACCCUCUGAAAGAGUCCCAUUUAACAAAUUCUAGAGAGAUUCUCAUUUUGAAAAGCUUCUGGAAAACUAUUCCAAUAUGUACUCCUGGGGAGAAAGUGGAUAGAAAGAAGAGGAUCAACAUUUAGAGAAUAUUAACUCUGUAUCUGGUACCAAGCCUCAUAAAUACACUUUGCCUCAUUUAUUCCUUAACACAGUCAUUACUAAUGAGGAAAUUGAGGCACAUAAAGUUAAGAAUUUGGAGUUCCCGUCGUGGCGCAGCAGAAACGAAUCCGACUGGGAACCAUAAGGUUGCAGGUUCGAUCCCUGGCCUUGCUCAGUGGGUUAAGGAUCCGGUGUUGCCGUGAGCUGUGGAGUAGGCCAGCAGCUGUAGCUCCGAUUAGACCCCUAGCUUGGGAACCUCCAUAUGCCACGAGUGCGGCCCUGAAAAGACAAG